Long non-coding RNA from Chlorocebus sabaeus (green monkey), 1735 nucleotides. RefSeq lists it as uncharacterized. Lineage: Eukaryota; Metazoa; Chordata; Mammalia; Primates; Cercopithecidae. The record is from RefSeq and is a predicted model, not a curated record.
CAGUAAGACUCCAUCUCAAAAAACAAACAAAACAACAACAGCAAGCCACAUGCAAGAGUGAAGUCAGGGAAGCACCCACGUCCUUAGGUCCAACCCAGGUUGCAAGAAUAGUAAAUUGGGUGUCCCUCUGAAGCCAGUCCUUGCAGGAACCGAGCCCCCCAGAGGCUGGUUUCUCUAAUACCUGUGAUUUGGGGGAACUGGUACUUUAUUGUGUAUUUUGCGGAGGCGGCUAUCAUGUGAUGAGGAGGCGGCAUUAGGGAGAGGUGCACACACCAGGGACCACGUCUUUCCUUCCAGGGACUCAGCUAGGCUGUGCAUGACUGACCUCCCUCCCACUGCCAUAUGGCUUUGCUACAAAGCCGCUCAAAUGAACCUCCCUCGCCUCCCUGGCGCCUCUUCCCUCUCAUUUCAGAGCCCCUGAAUCCCUGCUCAGUAAGAUAGCUGGUCUAGUUUAAUGCUCACCAUUUCAAAUCUUAUUCCAUCCAAGCACCCCAGGACCGAGCAUCCCCUAUCCCCUCCUGGAUGGACCCAUCCCCUCCUGGCUCCUCCAUGCAGACACCAGGCUGGCUGGUGGAGGUGAAUGCACCUAGAGCCUCCAAGUCCUCUUCCAGCAGAUCCUAUCACUAGGGCACCACUGCUCUGUCCUCACCCUCAUCAUGGGCAUGGCUACUUGCAACCUGGAAACAAACCACCUAAUCAUCUCCUUCUUAAAAAUCCUAAAACUCCCUAGCUUGAAACUCAUGACUCCCUAUUAAUCUAGUCUAGUAAUGGGUACCUCCCAGAUGUCUAUUUUAAGAGUGAUCUCCAGGGCCAGAACCAGACAGGCAGGUGAGGUGCCCAGAACACAGAAUCUGAAGAUAUCAUAUCAAUGUCAGUAUCCUGACUGUGCUGUUGUACUGUAGCGUUGCGAGAGUUUCACUGGGGGAAACUGAGUAACAGGUGCAUAGGGUCUCGCUGUUCUUAGAACUGCAUAUGAAUCUACAAUGACCUCAAAAAAAGUUUGAAUUAAAAAAAAAUAAAAAUUAUUUAAAAAGCAGCCAUAGGCACAAAGUAUUGCUUUACAUAUUCUGGUAAGCCUGCAUUUCAUUUACCUUUCUGUUUUGGAUUUGCUUUAUCUCAUCUGCUUAGAUGAGUGAUCUUGCAUUUUCCCUAGUUGUGACCUGGGGUUCCCUGAGGAGGCUGAUUCCAGUAAUUGCUCACUGGUUACGCCUGCUGCAAACACAGGCACCCAGUCUAGGAAAAUUGGUUCCAGCAGCCUGAACAGACUAAGACAGCCUCUAAGGAGACUGCUCCUGGCAAUCGGGAAGACCCAGAAAAAUCUACGGAACUCAAAAGCAUUGGAGUGACCGAGUUCCUGAAGGAAGGGGCCAAGCUGCAAGACGGGGUGACACGGAGAAGGCAGAGGAGGCCAGGAAAUGGGGACAAUUGCCGGACUGCAAAAAUGGCUGAGUUUGAAUGCCAGUUCUGUGGGAUUCUUGAUUAUUCACUGAGAAGUCUGCCAAAAUUCCACAUGACAUGAAAUGGUAGUGGUGACGGAGAGGGUUUGGUUUGGGGCAUUAUUUUCACCUCUUCAGGGAGCAACUGGGAUCUGAGAAUCCAGCUGUGCUAAUUAAUGAUUAGGGUGCCUUUUCCUCCUUCCAGUCACAUUCCUCACUCUUAAUUGCUUUCUUCCUUUUUUGUUGUUACCUCGUUAUUUUCUUCUUCUGGCUCAUUUCUUUUCCUUUUUUGAGAUGGA